RNAcentral lists this non-coding RNA (26 nucleotides) under Rattus norvegicus (Norway rat). The record is from RNAcentral. Lineage: Eukaryota; Metazoa; Chordata; Mammalia; Rodentia; Muridae.
UAUUCCUUGUAAUUUCUUAGCAGCCU